ACCCGCUGAACUUAAGCAUAUCAAUAAGCGGAGGAAAAGAAACCAACAGGGAUUGCCCUAGUAACGGCGAGUGAAGCGGCAACAGCUCAAAUUUGAAAUCUGGCGCAAGCCCGAGUUGUAAUUUGUAGAGGAUGCUUCUAGGUAGCGACCGGUCUGAGUUCCUUGGAACAGGACGUCAUAGAGGGUGAGAAUCCCGUAUGUGACUGGCCCGCACCUUCUACGUAGCUCCUUCGACGAGUCGAGUUGUUUGGGAAUGCAGCUCUAAAUGGGAGGUAAAUUUCUUCUAAAGCUAAAUACCGGCCAGAGACCGAUAGCGCACAAGUAGAGUGAUCGAAAGAUGAAAAGCACUUUGGAAAGAGAGUUAAAAAGCACGUGAAAUUGUUGAAAGGGAAGCGCUCACAACCAGACUUCUAGGCAGUGUUCCGCCGGUCUUUUGACCGGUCUACUCUCUGUCUCGAGGCCAACAUCAUCUGGGACCGCCGGAUAAGACCUUAGGAAUGUAGCUCCCCUCGGGGAGUGUUAUAGCCUCUGGUGAUGCGGCGCGUCUCGGGUGAGGUCCGCGCUUCGGCAAGGAUGUUGGCGUAAUGGUUGUCAGCGGCCCGUCUUGAAACACGGACCAAGGAGUCUAACAUCUAUGCGAGUGUUCGGGUGUCAAACCCCUACGCGUAAUGAAAGUGAACGGAGGUGGGAAGCGUAAGCUGCACCAUCGACCGAUCCUGAUGUCCUCGGAUGGAUUUGAGUAAGAGCAUAGCUGUUGGGACCCGAAAGAUGGUGAACUAUGCCUGAAUAGGGUGAAGCCAGAGGAAACUCUGGUGGAGGCUCGCAGCGGUUCUGACGUGCAAAUCGAUCGUCAAAUUUGGGUAUAGGGGCGAAAGACUAAUCGAACCAUCUAGUAGCUGGUUCCUGCCGAAGUUUCCCUCA
RNAcentral lists this ribosomal RNA (921 nucleotides) under Ramularia endophylla. RNAcentral's name for it is "LSU rRNA". It matches the Rfam family "Eukaryotic large subunit ribosomal RNA", at positions 23 to 975 of the family's 3401-position model. Lineage: Eukaryota; Fungi; Ascomycota; Dothideomycetes; Mycosphaerellales; Mycosphaerellaceae. The record is from RNAcentral.